UGGUGUCAUGGCUAAGACACGAGAGCAUUUGUCGAAAAAUUAAAAAAAUAUAUAAAUAAUUCAAGAUAAAAAUGUAAAUUUAAACGAACGUAUAUUUUGUUUGCUGUUUCAUCUGAGUCUCGUUUUUUUGACGCCACAUUUAUUUCAAUCAACCAUCAAUAGGCUUUAAUUGGUUAUUAAUAAAAAUGAAGAAAUCCUACUUUUUGCUCAAUAAAGUAGCAAUUGAUCGAUGGACGAUUGCCUUCCACAUACAUCACAGUCGAACGAUGUUAUAACGACGAACACGCUAAGACCGAAUAUUUGUUCGAUUAAAACAAACGAGAAGAUAUAGCUGAUUUUUAUAGACCGUGCAAUUGAUUGCGCCAAAAAUUAUUUAACCUACUAAAAUAAAAUUCAACUAGAUAAUUUAGAUUGAUGUGGAAAAAAUGAAAAAAUAAAAAAUCACUUGUUGGAAUGUUUUUUAAUCACUA
Musca domestica (house fly) is the source of this 470-nucleotide long non-coding RNA. RefSeq lists it as uncharacterized. The transcript is spliced from 2 exons. The record is from RefSeq and is a predicted model, not a curated record. NCBI's taxonomy places the organism in Eukaryota, Metazoa, Arthropoda, Insecta, Diptera, Muscidae.